This is an RNA transcript of Crotalus tigris (Tiger rattlesnake), 4248 nucleotides long. It is a transcript of the gene named tyrosine-protein phosphatase non-receptor type 11-like, with no coding region annotated. The transcript is spliced from 17 exons. The record is from RefSeq and is a predicted model, not a curated record. Lineage: Eukaryota; Metazoa; Chordata; Lepidosauria; Squamata; Viperidae.
CCUGUUGCCAGGCGGCGGGGAUUGGCGGAGCGGGGAUUCCCUUCGGUAUGACGUCACUGGGCCAGCCGAGCUUUCCCCUCGGCUGACACGCGGGUUCCUAAAGCGGCCGGCGGAGGCGGAGGAGGAGGCGUGUCUUGGCCAAUGGGGAGCUCGGGCGUCGUGGGGACGGGGCGGUAGGCUCUCCGUAUAUGGCAGAGGAGGGGGCGCGGCCUGGGGCAAGGCUGCUCUCGGGGGCAGCCGCUCCCUUUGGCUCCCAGCUGCUCGGCCAGCCAGCCACUUCUGAGCUGCCGAAGGGGAGACACGCGUGUUUCUCCUCCGGGCCGGUGAGCAGAGAGCUGUUUCAGCCGGGCCAGAAGCCGCUGCAAUGAUUUCCCGCAGGUGGUUCCAUCCAAACAUCAGCGGGAUUGAAGCAGAAAAACUGCUCCUAACCAGAGGCAUCCAUGGCAGUUUUUUGGCCCGGCCAAGUAAAAGCAACCCCGGAGAUUUCACGUUAUCGGUCAGGAGGAACGAUGAAGUGACCCACAUCAAAAUCCAAAACACGGGCGAUUACUAUGACCUCUACGGAGGGGAAAAAUUUGCUACCUUGGCAGAGCUGAUUCAGUACUACACUGACCAGGAGGGCCUUUUGCGCGAGAAGAACAGCAACACCAUCGAGUUACGGUUUCCACUCAAUUGCCAGGAUCCGACCUCAGAAAGAUGGUAUCAUGGCCACCUGACCGGCAAGGAAGCUGAGAAACUCCUCACCGACAAAGCCAAACCCGGCAGCUUUUUAGUCCGCAGCAGUCAAAGCAAGCCAGGCGACUUCGUCUUGUCCGUUCUGACGAACGAGGACAAAGCCGACACAGGGGACCGGAAACCCCGGGUGACCCACAUCAUGAUCCGCUACCAGCUGGACGGAAAGUACGACGUGGGCGGGGGAGAGCGAUUCGACACGCUGGCUGACUUGGUGGAGCACUACAAGAAAAACCCCAUGGUGGAGAAGUCAGGGGUGGUGGUACACCUGAAACAGCCUUUCAACGCCACAAGGAUUAUCGCCGCCAACAUCGAGAACCGGGUCAAGGAGCUGAACAAGAUGGCUGACCAGAGCGAGAAAGCGAAGCAAGGAUUCUGGGAAGAAUUUGAGAUGUUACAGCAGCAGGAGUGCAAAUUUCUCUAUCCCAGGAAGGAAGGGCAGCGCGUCGAGAACAAGGCGAAGAAUCGCUACAAAAACAUCCUUCCGUUUGACACAACGCGGGUGGCUCUCCGGAACGCGGAUCCCAGAGUCCCGAGUUCCGAUUACAUCAAUGCCAACUAUAUUAAGAAUACUCUGGAAGAUGGGCACAGCGCCGAACACCGUAAAAUCUACAUCGCCACCCAGGGCUGUCUCCAAAGCACCGUCAAUGACUUUUGGACCAUGAUCUACCAGGAAAACACCCACAUCAUCGUCAUGACCACCAAGGAGGUUGAGCGAGGCAGGAACAAGUGUUUUCGCUACUGGCCGGAUCAAAAUGGCACGAAGGAAUUCGGCAACAUCGGCGUGCAGAAUACCGGGGAGCGAGAAUGUCAGGGCUACUACAUCCGGGAUUUGCAGAUUGCACGGAUAGACAGGGAAGAGCAGCCCAGAAAAAUUAAGCACUUCCAGUAUUUCAGCUGGCCUGAUCAUGGGGUCCCGACUGAGCCAGGCGGUGUUCUCGGCUUUCUGGACCAAAUCAACAAGGCCCACAGAAAUAUUCCAGAGUCGGGACCAAUUGUGGUGCACUGCAGUGCUGGGAUAGGACGGACGGGCACCAUCAUCGUGAUAGACAUGCUGGUGGACACGAUUCACCGACAAGGCUUGCAUUGUGACAUCGACAUCUCAAAGACAAUCCAGAUGGUACGAAGGCAGAGGUCGGGCAUGGUGCAGACGGAAGCCCAGUACAAAUUUGUCUACAUGGCGGUGCAACAGUUCAUUGCGAUGCAGCAGAAGGAGCUAGAAGAGGAACAGAGAUGUCUACGGAAGGACACAGGUUACUUAAAUAUCCGAUAUUUGCCGAUGGAAAAACCCAGAGCCAAGACUUGCCCUCCUUCACCUCGCCUCCAGAUAGGGGUGGCUGACGAAGAAACGACUUCCGUCUACGAGAAUCUCAGUAUCAAAACCGCCAAAGUCUCAGGAUAUACUAACUCCGGAAGAUAGUUGCUAUAGCCCAGGCUGGAGACAGGUGGCUAUAAAGUAGGGCAAGAAGAGGACGAGGCAAAGGCUACAAUUUCUGCGCAGAAGACGCGUCACCAGAGGGUCAAGCCAACCGCAGAACUUUCUUCCACUAAUUCAGCUUUCAGAACUGAAUUUGUUCCUCUUCUCCAUUCCUUUGACAGUGGCAAAGGAUCCCAGCUGGGAAAUUCGUGUGGCUGGUUGCGUAGACGCACAAACUGUUUAUAAAUCAAGUCUUAACACACCCCAUGACUUGGCAAGAGCAACAUCCGUUCCUUUCUGACCGCCACCGUAAUUCCUUCUUUGCGGCAAUUCCAGUAGCAAAGGUUCAGCCGAGGCAAUUCACCAGCCUGCCACAUUUUUCCAUGUUUUUUCCCCCCGAGAAAUCCUAGAUUGUUAUAGAUUUGCUGGCGAGUCAUUUAGAACAACAGCUGUCUGGGAGCAAAGCCAGGAUAACAGCAACAAAAAUAAUAAUAUAAAUUAUAAUUGAUGGGGGAUUUUUUUUUUUUGGUCAAAGUAUUUAUCCUCAGCUAGCUAGAUACAGAACUGGAGUUUAUUCGGUCCAGUGGGAUUGUCCGUUCCUGUUAUGGUUAUGAAAGACGCUUCAGCUCACUCAGUUUGUAAGACAUUUUUGUAUAAAAUAAGGCCCAGGUGCGAAGGAUAGGUGCAUCUCUUCCUGGUGCUUUUCCUGGCGAAUUGACGAUUCUUCCAUUCCUAUACCUGCUGAGAUUUUAGAAGACUCCGCACAAAAAUACAAAAGCUGUAAAGAGGAUAAGAUCAGCUCCCCUUCAGAUUGGCUGAACUUUUACAGUCGCAGAUUAUCCAGUGGGUAAAACGUGCCCGUUUUGUUCCCAUGCCGCUUCGUUUUGGGAUUCGUGGACAAUCAUCUUUGAACGGAGAGGUCCUAAAAAGACCCCCGUUUUCCAGCAAUAUCGCACGUGGCUAGGAAACAUUAUCAGUGUGAUAGUGUUGGGUUCAGGCACCGUUUCUCAAUCUGGGCAACUUUUUGAGAUACAUGGAUUUACAACUCCCAGAAUUAUCCAGGCAGGACGCUUUUGUAGGAAAGAUGCCCAGCUCAAUUGCUUGCAAUAUCCAGGCCAGUUCGAUCUGGGAUGCAGCUGGCUGGUGACUACACUCUUGGAAUGGGAAACGUAUCCCAACCUUGCUACGGCGUCGGGAAUCCCAGACGUGUCCUUGAGGGUUGACACACAGGACAAGGCAACAAAAACGACAGCGUUGGGCUUUUGCUAAAAUUGCGUCCCGGAGAGGAAGCCAAAAUAACUCCAGCUAAAGAAAGCCACGAAUGCCACCGGGGACGAAAGGACUGGCUUCGGUGUGUAAGGAGAUUGCGUGGUUUCAUUGCAUAGAAUCUCGGUCAAUCAUGAGGAGUGGGAAAAAAAAAAAAAAAAAAGAAUCUCAGGACAUCCACAGGCUCUUCCCGAGCCCCUUCCCCACAACAGGGAUUCUAACGAGCCCAGUGGGAGGAAAGGAUCUAAAAUAAUAACCAUGCAACUUCAUUAAUGACAAAUGCUUUUUUUUUUUAAAAAAAAGGGAUGCGAGGUGCAUGUGUCACGAGAUUAGGGGACCUGUGGCUGGCCAGAGGCUUCUGGAUUUUAACUCCCGUAAACCCAGCUAGCGUGACCAGUGCUAAGGAUGGGAUUUGUAUUCUGACAACUCCAGGAAGGCCACAAGCACCCAGGCCUGGACCGAAAGCAAAGGCGAGGAGAACACAACAUCCUUGUUUGGGGGGGGGAAGAGGGAAGGCUUGUGACUCCUACAACACCCUGGCUCAAACAUUUGGCCUACGGGAAGGGGUGCAGCUCUCUAAGUUCCUAGCUAACUUCCCUUGAAUCAAGAUCAACACCAAUUUUUUAAAAAAAGUAUCAAAGAAACCCUCCGGAGAGGACGGAGGAAUCAUUUGGGGGCAAUUUGAAGUCGCUGGAUUGCUUUGCAUUGCCUUGGGAGAGUUAAGGGCUGGUGCGCUUCGGUUUGCAUAAGGACGGACUUGAAUUAGGGAAUCUGCACAGUGUGCAGGUGGGGGGGGGAAGAGAGGGAGAGAGAGAGAGAGAGAGAGAGAAAGA